This 472-nucleotide ribosomal RNA is filed under the name Streptococcus anginosus. Its description in RNAcentral is "bacterial SSU rRNA". It matches the Rfam family "Bacterial small subunit ribosomal RNA", at positions 28 to 474 of the family's 1533-position model. Lineage: Bacteria; Bacillati; Bacillota; Bacilli; Lactobacillales; Streptococcaceae. The record is from RNAcentral.
GACGAACGCUGGCGGCGUGCCUAAUACAUGCAAGUAGGACGCACAGUUUAUGCCGUAGCUUGCUACACCAUAGACUGUGAGUUGCGAACGGGUGAGUAACGCGUAGGUAACCUACCUAUUAGAGGGGGAUAACUAUUGGAAACGAUAGCUAAUACCGCAUAACAGUAUGUAACACAUGUUAGAUGCUUGAAAGAUGCAAUUGCAUCGCUAGUAGAUGGACCUGCGUUGUAUUAGCUAGUAGGUGGGGUAAAGGCCUACCUAGGCAACGAUACAUAGCCGACCUGAGAGGGUGAUCGGCCACACUGGGACUGAGACACGGCCCAGACUCCUACGGGAGGCAGCAGUAGGGAAUCUUCGGCAAUGGGGGGAACCCUGACCGAGCAACGCCGCGUGAGUGAAGAAGGUUUUCGGAUCGUAAAGCUCUGUUGUUAAGGAAGAACGAGUGUGAGAAUGGAAAGUUCAUGCUGUGACG